CAGUAGCCACGGGAAUACGAAGGGGGCUAGCGUUGUUCGGAUUUACUGGGCGUAAAGCGCACGUAGGCGGACUUUUAAGUCAGGGGUGAAAUCCCGGGGCUCAACCCCGGAACUGCCUUUGAUACUGGAAGUCUUGAGUAUGGUAGAGGUGAGUGGAAUUCCGAGUGUAGAGGUGAAAUUCGUAGAUAUUCGCAAGAACACCAGUGGCGAAGGCGGCUUACUGGCUCGAAACUGACGCUGAGGCGCGAAAGCGUGGGGAGCAAUCAGGAUUAGAUACCCCCGUAGUCCCUGUCUCUUAUAC
RNAcentral lists this ribosomal RNA (301 nucleotides) under uncultured bacterium. RNAcentral's name for it is "partial 16S ribosomal RNA". It matches the Rfam family "Bacterial small subunit ribosomal RNA", at positions 509 to 807 of the family's 1533-position model. The record is from RNAcentral.